UUAAGUUAAUAAGGGCGCACGGUGGAUGCCUUGGCACUAGGAGCCGACGAAGGACGUGACAAACGACGAUAUGCCUUGGGUAGCUGUAAGUAAGCGAUGAUCCAGGGAUUUCCGAAUGGGGGAACCCAACAGGUAAUACCUGUUACCUACAUCUGUUAAGGAUGUGAGGAGGAAGACGCAGUGAACUGAAACAUCUAAGUAGCUGCAGGAAGAGAAAGCAAAAGCGAUUGCCUUAGUAGCGGCGAGCGAAACGGCAGAAGGGCAAACCGAAGAGUUUACUCUUCGGGGUUGUAGGACUGCAAUGUGGACUCAAAGAUUAUAGAAGAAUGAUUUGGGAAGAUCAGCCAAAGAGAGUAAUAGCCUCGUAUUUAAAAUAGUCUUUGUACUUAGCAGUAUCCUGAGUACGGCGGGACACGUGAAAUCCCGUCGGAAUCUGGGAGGACCAUCUCCCAACCCUAAAUACUCCCUAGUGACCGAUAGUGAACCAGUACCGUGAGGGAAAGGUGAAAAGCACCCCGGGAGGGGAGUGAAAUAGAACCUGAAACCGUGUGCCUACAACAAGUUCGAGCCCGUUAAUGGGUGAGAGCGUGCCUUUUGUAGAAUGAACCGGCGAGUUACGUUAUGAUGCGAGGUUAAGUUGAAGAGACGGAGCCGUAGGGAAACCGAGUCUGAAUAGGGCGCCUUAGUAUCAUGACGUAGACCCGAAACCAUGUGACCUACCCAUGAGCAGGUUGAAGGUGCGGUAAGACGCACUGGAGGACCGAACCAGGGCACGUUGAAAAGUGCUUGGAUGACUUGUGGGUAGCGGAGAAAUUCCAAACGAACUUGGAGAUAGCUGGUUCUCUCCGAAAUAGCUUUAGGGCUAGCGUCGACAUUAGAGAUUCUUGGAGGUAGAGCACUGUUUGGGUGAGGGGUCCAUCCCGGAUUACCAAUCUCAGAUAAACUCCGAAUGCCAAUGAAUUAUGGUCGGCAGUCAGACUGCGAGUGCUAAGAUCCGUAGUCGAAAGGGAAACAGCCCAGACCACCAGCUAAGGUCCCAAAAUAAUUGUUAAGUGGAAAAGGAUGUGGGGUUGCACAGACAACUAGGAUGUUAGCUUAGAAGCAGCUAUUCAUUCAAAGAGUGCGUAAUAGCUCACUAGUCGAGUGACCCUGCGCCGAAAAUGUACCGGGGCUAAAACAAUUUACCGAAGCUGUGGAUACCUUUAUAGGUAUGGUAGGAGAGCGUUCUAUGUGUGAUGAAGGUAUACCGUGAGGAGUGCUGGAACGCAUAGAAGUGAGAAUGCCGGUAUGAGUAGCGAAAGACAGGUGAGAAUCCUGUCCACCGUAAGACUAAGGUUUCCAGGGGAAGGCUCGUCCGCCCUGGGUUAGUCGGGACCUAAGGAGAGACCGAAAGGUGUAUCCGAUGGACAACAGGUUGAUAUUCCUGUACUAGAGUAUGUAGUGAUGGAGGGACGCAGUAGGCUAACUAAAGCAGACGAUUGGAAGAGUCUGUCUAAGCAGUGAGGUGUGAAUUGAGUCAAAUGCUUAAUUCUAUAACAUUGAGCUGUGAUGGGGAGCGAAGUUUAGUAGCGAAGUUAGUGACGUCAUACUGCCAAGAAAAGCUUCUAGCGUUUAAACAUACUCUACCCGUACCGCAAACCGACACAGGUAGUCGAGGCGAGUAGCCUCAGGUGAGCGAGAGAACUCUCGUUAAGGAACUCGGCAAAAUGACCCCGUAACUUCGGGAGAAGGGGUGCUGACUUAAAGUCAGCCGCAGUGAAUAGGCCCAAGCAACUGUUUAUCAAAAACACAGCUCUCUGCUAAAUCGUAAGAUGAUGUAUAGGGGGUGACGCCUGCCCGGUGCUGGAAGGUUAAGAGGAGUGCUUAGCGUAAGCGAAGGUAUGAAUUGAAGCCCCAGUAAACGGCGGCCGUAACUAUAACGGUCCUAAGGUAGCGAAAUUCCUUGUCGGGUAAGUUCCGACCCGCACGAAAGGCGUAAUGAUUUGGGCACUGUCUCAACGAGAGACUCGGUGAAAUUUUAGUACCUGUGAAGAUGCAGGUUACCCGCGACAGGACGGAAAGACCCCAUGGAGCUUUACUGCAGUUUGAUAUUGAGUGUCUGUACCACAUGUACAGGAUAGGUAGGAGUCUAAGAGAUCGGGACGCCAGUUUCGAAGGAGACGCUGUUGGGAUACUACCCUUGUGUUAUGGCCACUCUAACCCAGAUAGGUGAUCCCUAUCGGAGACAGUGUCUGACGGGCAGUUUGACUGGGGCGGUCGCCUCCUAAAAGGUAACGGAGGCGCCCAAAGGUUCCCUCAGAAUGGUUGGAAAUCAUUCGCAGAGUGUAAAGGUAUAAGGGAGCUUGACUGCGAGAGCUACAACUCGAGCAGGGACGAAAGUCGGGCUUAGUGAUCCGGUGGUUCCGUAUGGAAGGGCCAUCGCUCAACGGAUAAAAGCUACCCUGGGGAUAACAGGCUUAUCUCCCCCAAGAGUUCACAUCGACGGGGAGGUUUGGCACCUCGAUGUCGGCUCGUCGCAUCCUGGGGCUGUAGUCGGUCCCAAGGGUUGGGCUGUUCGCCCAUUAAAGCGGCACGCGAGCUGGGUUCAGAACGUCGUGAGACAGUUCGGUCCCUAUCCGUCGCGGGCGUAGGAAAUUUGAGAGGAUCUGCUCCUAGUACGAGAGGACCAGAGUGGACUUACCGCUGGUGUACCAGUUGUCUUGCCAAAGGCAUCGCUGGGUAGCUAUGUAGGGAAGGGAUAAACGCUGAAAGCAUCUAAGUGUGAAACCCACCUCAAGAUGAGAUUUCCCAUGAUUAUAUAUCAGUAAGAGCCCUGAGAGAUGAUCAGGUAGAUAGGUUAGAAGUGGAAGUGUGGCGACACAUGUAGCGGACUAAUACUAAUAGCUCGAGGACUUAUCCAA
This 2900-nucleotide ribosomal RNA is filed under the name Streptococcus pneumoniae. Its description in RNAcentral is "23S ribosomal RNA". It matches the Rfam family "Bacterial large subunit ribosomal RNA". Lineage: Bacteria; Bacillati; Bacillota; Bacilli; Lactobacillales; Streptococcaceae. The record is from RNAcentral.